RNAcentral lists this ribosomal RNA (253 nucleotides) under uncultured bacterium. RNAcentral describes it as "partial 16S ribosomal RNA". It matches the Rfam family "Bacterial small subunit ribosomal RNA", at positions 524 to 776 of the family's 1533-position model. The record is from RNAcentral.
UACGUAGGCAGCAAGCGUUGUUCGGAGUUACUGGGCGUAAAGAGUGCGUAGGCGGUUUCGUAAGUUUGGUGUGAAAUCUCCCGGCUUAACUGGGAGGGUGCGCCGAAAACUGCGGGGCUGGAGUGUGGGAGAGGUAAGCGGAAUUCCUGGUGUAGCGGUGAAAUGCGUAGAUAUCAUGAGGAAGACCAGUGGCGAAGGCGGGUCUCUGGACAGUUCCUGACACUGAGACACGAAGGCCAGGGGAGCAAACGGG